UAUUAGAACAUGACAUACAAGCAGCUGGGAAAGGACCCCCUGUAUUGUUCCGCUCUUUCAUUCUAGUUAUAGCUUCCUUAUGGUGGAAGUAGUGAGUGGAUGAUCAAGAGUGUAAGAACAUUGCAGUUUUCUUACUUCAGUGCUCAUCUCUGGAAGAACAUUGAAAUGGAGGCUAUGGCAGAUCAUCUCCACAAGUUGGUACACUGACUCUCGGUGGUGUCUCACCCACCAUCACUUCUGCUCCUGGACCCAUGUCACUUCAAGGACCGUGGCAUCCUCUUCAGGACUCAGACCUCCGGCUGUGCCACACUCCCCAUUUCCGGGGGACAGUACUGCAGUCCAAUGGUCCAGCCAUUUCCUCAGUGCCAUGCCACCAACGUGUACUGGGGGUUGCCAGAUGGAGGUUGAGGAUCCAUUACUCCUACAGCAAAGGAUUUCCUUGGUGCUUGAUGCUGUUGAUCUGCUUGAGGAAUAAUGGAGGGAAGUAGGAUACAUUUGGCUAACAGCUUCUGGUUGUAGGAUUUGUGUUCGCAAACAAACAAACUUCCUUGACAGAUGUAACAAG
Mauremys mutica (yellowpond turtle) is the source of this 565-nucleotide long non-coding RNA. RefSeq lists it as uncharacterized. Lineage: Eukaryota; Metazoa; Chordata; Testudines; Geoemydidae. The transcript has 4 exons. The record is from RefSeq and is a predicted model, not a curated record.